This 301-nucleotide ribosomal RNA is filed under the name uncultured bacterium. RNAcentral describes it as "partial 16S ribosomal RNA". It matches the Rfam family "Bacterial small subunit ribosomal RNA", at positions 509 to 807 of the family's 1533-position model. The record is from RNAcentral.
CAGUAGCCGCGGGAAUACGUAGGUGGCAAGCGUUGUCCGGAAUUAUUGGGCGUAAAGGGCUCGCAGGCGGUUUCUUAAGUCUGAUGUGAAAGCCCCCGGCUCAACCGGGGAGGGUCAUUGGAAACUGGGAAACUUGAGUGCAGAAGAGGAGAGUGGAAUUCCACGUGUAGCGGUGAAAUGCGUAGAGAUGUGGAGGAACACCAGUGGCGAAGGCGACUCUCUGGUCUGUAACUGACGCUGAGGAGCGAAAGCGUGGGGAGUGAACAGGAUUAGAUACCCGCGUAGUCCCUGUCUCUUAUAC